Molecule: ribosomal RNA, 501 nt
Filed under: uncultured bacterium
Lineage: Bacteria
Description: bacterial SSU rRNA
Rfam family: Bacterial small subunit ribosomal RNA
Source: RNAcentral
GAUGAACGCUAGCGGCAGGCUUAAUACAUGCAAGUCGAGGGGCAGCACAGUCCGCCGUAAGGCGGAUGGGUGGCGACCGGCAAACGGGUGCGGAACACGUACAGAACCUACCUUCGAGCGGGGGAUAGCCCAGAGAAAUUUGGAUUAAUACCCAUAGUAUAUUUGGAUGGCAUCAUUUGAAUAUUAAAGAUUUAUCACUUGAAGAUGGCUGUGCGUAUGAUUAGGUAGUUGGCGGGGUAACGGCCCACCAAGCCUACGAUCAUUAACUGGUGUGAGAGCACGACCAGUCACACGGGCACUGAGACACGGGCCCGACUCCUACGGGAGGCAGCAGUAAGGAAUAUUGGUCAAUGGACGCAAGUCUGAACCAGCCAUGCCGCGUGGAGGAUGAAGGUCCUCUGGAUUGUAAACUUCUUUUUANCUGGGACGAAAAAAAGGGAAUUCUUUCUCGUCUGACGGUACCAGAUGAAUAAGCACCGGCUAACUCCGUGCCAGCAGCCG